This 253-nucleotide ribosomal RNA is filed under the name uncultured prokaryote. RNAcentral's name for it is "partial 16S ribosomal RNA". It matches the Rfam family "Bacterial small subunit ribosomal RNA", at positions 525 to 777 of the family's 1533-position model. The record is from RNAcentral.
ACAGAGGGUGCGAGCGUUAAUCGGAAUUACUGGGCGUAAAGCGCGCGUAGGCGGCUUUGUAAGUCGGAUGUGAAAUCCCCGGGCUUAACUCGGAAAGGUCAACUGAUACUGUGCGACUAGAGUGCAGAAGGGGCAACUGGAAUUCUCGGUGUAGCGGUGAAAUGCGUAGAUAUCGAGAGGAACACCUGCGGCGAAGGCGGGUUGCUGGGCUGACACUGACGCUGAUGCGCGAAAGCCAGGGGAGCGAACGGGA